GCCUGGAAGAGGAAGAAAAGACACCCUAAGAGCAGUAGGCAUGGGAACAUGGAGGAAGGCAUAAAUCUCAUUUUGAGUCUUCCUGAUGCCUCCCAAGCCUAUUGUUCUUAGGUGCUCCUUCCUCUUCCACCUGACA
This 136-nucleotide microRNA precursor is filed under the name Dichanthelium oligosanthes. Its description in RNAcentral is "MIR2118 microRNA precursor family". It matches the Rfam family "MIR2118 microRNA precursor family". Lineage: Eukaryota; Viridiplantae; Streptophyta; Magnoliopsida; Poales; Poaceae. The record is from Rfam by way of RNAcentral.